This 517-nucleotide ribosomal RNA is filed under the name uncultured bacterium. RNAcentral's name for it is "bacterial SSU rRNA". It matches the Rfam family "Bacterial small subunit ribosomal RNA", at positions 28 to 527 of the family's 1533-position model. The record is from RNAcentral.
GAUGAACGCUGGCGGCGUGCCUCAAACAUGCAAGUCGAGCGGGGCUAUGUAAUAUCGCAAGGUAGAACAUAGCCUAGCGGCGAACGGGUGAGUAACACGUGGGUAACCUGCCUGGAAGACAGGGAUAACGAUUCGAAAGGGUCGCUAAUACCUGAUAAUAUCCUUUCAUCGCAUGGUGAUAGGAAGAAAGGGGAAACCCGCUUUCAGAUGGGCCCGCGUCCCAUCAGCUAGUUGGUAAGGUAAAGGCUUACCAAGGCGACGACGGGUAGCCGGUCUGAGAGGAUGUACGGCCACACUGGGACUGAGAUACGGCCCAGACUCCUACGGGAGGCAGCAGUUGGGAAUCUUAGGCAAUGGACGAAAGUCUGACCUAGCGACGCCGCGUGAGGGAAGAAGGCCUUCGGGUUGUAAAGCACUUUUGGCGGGAACGAAACGGCGCUUUCUAAUACAGAGCGCUAAUGACGGUACCCGCAGAAUAAGCACCGGCUAACUACGUGCCAGCAGCCGACGGUAAACG